Non-coding RNA from Pantherophis guttatus, 341 nucleotides. NCBI's taxonomy places the organism in Eukaryota, Metazoa, Chordata, Lepidosauria, Squamata, Colubridae. The record is from RefSeq and is a predicted model, not a curated record.
UUUUUUUUUUUUUUGCUACUGCAGAAGAAUAUUCCUUCAUUCAGAUGGCAUCAUCCCUGGUGGUAUUCCGGAAGUGGUUACAAUGGAACUACAGGUAGUCCUUGACUUACAACCAUGGAAGAGAUUAGUUCCAGUCCUGGAAGAAUCAGGCUGAUUUGCUCGGCUUUGUGACAGAGAAAGAAAAAUUGGGUACUGAUUGGAAAAAUAGAAUAGUGGAAAGUAAUUUUGUGCAGAAAGUAAGUGGAAUUAUGAAUUGAAAAUGGCAACAUUGAAGUGUCUCUGCGUGUAAAGAAAGAUAAUUAUAGACAUGAAUAAUUAAACAUUCAUAUCUGUUUGUUCAA